GCUUCAAACUCCUGCAACUACGACGGAGUUCCAGCUGUUGAGGGGCUGCGCCGAGCGGUGGAUCUCUGCGCUUGCCCCGGCAGCUGGAGCCAGUUCUGAGCAGGAAGCUGAAGGGCGGUGCUGGGA
This is a non-coding RNA of Chelonoidis abingdonii (Abingdon island giant tortoise), 126 nucleotides long. NCBI's taxonomy places the organism in Eukaryota, Metazoa, Chordata, Testudines, Testudinidae. The record is from RefSeq and is a predicted model, not a curated record.